RNAcentral lists this ribosomal RNA (293 nucleotides) under uncultured bacterium. Its description in RNAcentral is "partial 16S ribosomal RNA". It matches the Rfam family "Archaeal small subunit ribosomal RNA", at positions 455 to 747 of the family's 1478-position model. The record is from RNAcentral.
GUGCCAGCCGCCGCGGUAAUACCGGCAGCCCAAGUGAUGGCCGAUCUUAUUGGGCCUAAAGCGUCCAUAGCUGGCUGCGCAAGUCUGUCGGGAAAUCCACUCGCUCAACGAGUGGCCGUCCGGUGGAAACUCCACACCUUGGGACCGGAAGGCUCGAAGGGUACGGCCGGGGUAGGAGUGAAAUCCUGUAAUCCCGUCCGGACCACCGAUGGCGAAAGCACUUCGAGAAAACGGAUCCGACAGUGAGGGACGAAAGCUAAGAUCGCGAACCGGAUUAGAUACCCUGGUAGUCC